ACUUAGAUAGUUUAAUUAAAACGUUGAUUUGUGGUAUCAGAAAUAUAAAAGUUAUUCUAGGUU
Molecule: transfer RNA, 63 nt
Filed under: Gromphadorhina portentosa (giant Madagascar hissing cockroach)
Lineage: Eukaryota; Metazoa; Arthropoda; Insecta; Blattodea; Blaberidae
Also listed under: 1 other name
Description: tRNA-His
Source: RNAcentral